UGCCGAAACCCGGGAUUGAACCAGACCUUUAGAUCUUCAGUCUAACGCCCUCCCAACUGACCUAUUUCGGC
Molecule: transfer RNA, 71 nt
Filed under: Cordylochernes scorpioides
Lineage: Eukaryota; Metazoa; Arthropoda; Arachnida; Pseudoscorpiones; Chernetidae
Description: tRNA-Phe
Source: RNAcentral